RNAcentral lists this ribosomal RNA (397 nucleotides) under uncultured bacterium. Its description in RNAcentral is "bacterial SSU rRNA". It matches the Rfam family "Bacterial small subunit ribosomal RNA", at positions 28 to 431 of the family's 1533-position model. The record is from RNAcentral.
AUUGAACGCUGGCGGCAUGCUUUACACAUGCAAGUCGAACGGCAGCGGGGGCUUCGGCCUGCCGGCGAGUGGCGAACGGGUGAGUAAUGCAUCGGAACGUGCCCAGUCAUGGGGGAUAACUACGCGAAAGCGUAGCUAAUACCGCAUACGCCCUGAGGGGGAAAGCGGGGGAUCGCAAGACCUCGCGUGAUUGGAGCGGCCGAUGUCGGAUUAGCUAGUUGGUGGGGUAAAGGCCUACCAAGGCGACGAUCCGUAGCGGGUCUGAGAGGAUGAUCCGCCACACUGGGACUGAGACACGGCCCAGACUCCUACGGGAGGCAGCAGUGGGGAAUUUUGGACAAUGGGGGGCAACCCUGAUCCAGCCAUGCCGCGUGAGUGAAGAAGGCCUGGUGUAAGC